Molecule: unclassified non-coding RNA, 332 nt
Filed under: uncultured fungus
Lineage: Eukaryota; Fungi
Description: partial contains 5.8S ribosomal RNA and internal transcribed spacer 2
Rfam family: 5.8S ribosomal RNA (bases 1-133)
Source: RNAcentral
UGGCUCUCGCAUCGAUGAAGAACGCAGCGAAAUGCGAUAAGUAAUGUGAAUUGCAGAAUUCAGUGAAUCAUCGAAUCUUUGAACGCACCUUGCGCCCUCUGGUAUUCCGGAGGGCAUGCCUGUUUGAGUGUCAUGUAGACUCAAUCCCCCGGGUUUUCCGGGAAGAUUGGAAUUGGACGUCUGCCGCCUGCCCGGCUCGUCUCAAAUGUGUCUGUGGGUGUCUCUGUACCCGUCGGGAGUGAUACGUUUCUCUCGGUCACGGCGUCCUUGGCCCUGCUGUCCAACCACCAUAUCAUGACUCUGACCUCAAAUCAGGUAGGGCUACCCGCUGA